Molecule: transfer RNA, 75 nt
Filed under: bacterium
Lineage: Bacteria
Description: tRNA-Arg
Rfam family: tRNA
About the family: Transfer RNA (tRNA) molecules are approximately 80 nucleotides in length.
Source: RNAcentral
GCACUCAUAGUUUAAUGGAUAAAACGUAGGAUUGCGGUUCCUAAAAUAGAGGUUCGAUUCCUCUUGGGUGUACCG